RNAcentral lists this ribosomal RNA (129 nucleotides) under Acetobacterium wieringae. RNAcentral describes it as "partial 16S ribosomal RNA". It matches the Rfam family "Bacterial small subunit ribosomal RNA", at positions 1 to 110 of the family's 1533-position model. The record is from RNAcentral. Lineage: Bacteria; Bacillati; Bacillota; Clostridia; Eubacteriales; Eubacteriaceae.
UUUUUAUUGAGAGUUUGAUCCUGGCUCAGGACGAACGCUGGCGGUAUGCUUAACACAUGCAAGUCGAACGAGACGAGAUGGAAUGACCCUUCGGGGGAAUGAAAUCUUAGAAAGUGGCGAACGGGUGAG